Molecule: transfer RNA, 71 nt
Filed under: Camelus bactrianus (Bactrian camel)
Lineage: Eukaryota; Metazoa; Chordata; Mammalia; Artiodactyla; Camelidae
Also listed under: 1 other name
Rfam family: tRNA
About the family: Transfer RNA (tRNA) molecules are approximately 80 nucleotides in length. Their secondary structure includes four short double-helical elements and three loops (D, anti-codon, and T loops).
Source: Rfam by way of RNAcentral
GAGGGUAGAGCUUGUAGUAGAGUGCUUGCCUAGCAUGCACGAGAUCCUGGGUUCAGUCCCCAGUACCUCCA